Molecule: long non-coding RNA, 467 nt
Organism: Gorilla gorilla gorilla (western lowland gorilla)
Lineage: Eukaryota; Metazoa; Chordata; Mammalia; Primates; Hominidae
Exons: 3
Source: RefSeq, a predicted model, not a curated record
GUGGAGAAAUCAAGACCCCAACAGAGGGCUGACCCGGUUACUCAGCAAUGCUGUGGCAGAAACACACAAAAGAGUCCGUGGCUUGUGAUUCACAGGCCAAGACGUUGCGUUGGCGCAGCACUCCCCGUGUUGACGUGGAAGGUGGUGAUGGCAGUGAGCAAAAAAGUGAUCCACGCACAGAUGCAUUUGUGAACGCCGGAUGAAACAAAGUUAAAAUAGGACCCAGUGGAUGAAGUGGACUGAAACACUGAAUCUGAAACAUUGAUGAUCACUACAGCAAAGGGAAGAGCUCGACCAAGGCUGAGCAGUCAACGGUGCCCUGUGCCCAUGAAUGGACAGUAGUGUCUUGCAAAGGGACCAUGAGCUGAAAAGACAUUCGUAAGUGCAAAAAUAGUGUGGUAAUUAUAGGAGUAAGUGGAGAGUCAAUUUCUUCUUAAAACAUCAUCGUUAUUAAAAUAGACUAAGUG